This 449-nucleotide ribosomal RNA is filed under the name uncultured bacterium. Its description in RNAcentral is "partial 16S ribosomal RNA". It matches the Rfam family "Bacterial small subunit ribosomal RNA", at positions 29 to 523 of the family's 1533-position model. The record is from RNAcentral.
AACGAACGCUGGCGGCAUGUCUAACACAUGCAAGUCGAACGAAGGCUUCGGCCUUAGUGGCGCACGGGUGCGUAACGCGUGGGAAUCUGCCCCUCGGUUCGGAAUAACAGUUAGAAAUGACUGUUAAUACCGGAUGAUGACUUCGGUCCAAAGAUUUAUCGCCGGGGGAUGAGCCCGCGUAAGAUUAGGUAGUUGGUGGGGUAAAGGCCUACCAAGCCGACGAUCUUUAGCUGGUCUGAGAGGAUGAUCAGCCACACUGGGACUGAGACACGGCCCAGACUCCUACGGGAGGCAGCAGUGGGGAAUAUUGGACAAUGGGCGAAAGCCUGAUCCAGCAAUGCCGCGUGAGUGAUGAAGGCCUUAGGGUUGUAAAGCUCUUUUACCAGGGAUGAUAAUGACAGUACCUGGAGAAUAAGCUCCGGCUAACUCCGUGCCAGCCGCCGCGGUAA